RNAcentral lists this ribosomal RNA (253 nucleotides) under uncultured bacterium. RNAcentral's name for it is "partial 16S ribosomal RNA". It matches the Rfam family "Bacterial small subunit ribosomal RNA", at positions 524 to 776 of the family's 1533-position model. The record is from RNAcentral.
UACGUAGGGUGCGAGCGUUAUUCGGAAUUACUGGGCGUAAAGCGUGCGCAGGCGGUUUUGUAAGUCCGAUGUGAAAGCCCCGGGCUUAACCUGGGAAUGGCAUUUGGGACUGCAAGGCUUGAGUGCGGCAGAGGAGACUGGAAUUCCCGGUGUAGCAGUGAAAUGCGUAGAUAUCGGGAGGAAUACCGAUGGCGAAGGCAGGUCUCUGGGCUGACACUGACGCUCAUGCACGAAAGCGUGGGGAGCAAACAGG